This 497-nucleotide ribosomal RNA is filed under the name uncultured bacterium. RNAcentral describes it as "partial 16S ribosomal RNA". It matches the Rfam family "Bacterial small subunit ribosomal RNA", at positions 28 to 507 of the family's 1533-position model. The record is from RNAcentral.
GAUGAACGCUGGCGGCGUGCCUAAUACAUGCAAGUCGAGCGAACGGACGAGAAGCUUGCUUCUCUGAUGUUAGCGGCGGACGGGUGCGUAACACGUGGAUAACCUACCUAUAAGACUGGGAUAACUUCGGGAAACCGUAGCUAAUACCGGAUAAUAUUUUGAACCGCAUGGUUCAAAAGUGAAAGACGGUCUUGCUGUCACUUAUAGAUGGAUCCGCGCUGCAUUAGCUAGUUGGUAAGGUAACGGCUUACCAAGGCAACGAUGCAUAGCCGACCUGAGAGGGUGAUCGGCCACACUGGAACUGAGACACGGUCCAGACUCCUACGGGGGGCAGCAGUAGGGAAUCUUCCGCAAUGGGCGAAAGCCUGACGGAGCAACGCCGCGUGAGUGAUGAAGGUCUUCGGAUCGUAAAACUCUGUUAUUAGGGAAGAACAUAUGUGUAAGUAACUGUGCACAUCUUGACGGUACCUAAUCAGAAAGCCACGGCUAACUACGUG